CAGCCGCCACGGGAAUACGGAGGGUGCAAGCGUUAAUCGGAAUUACUGGGCGUAAAGCGUGCGCAGGCGGUUAUAUAAGACAGAUGUGAAAUCCCCGGGCUCAACCUGGGAACUGCAUUUGUGACUGUAUAGCUAGAGUACGGCAGAGGGGGAUGGAAUUCCGCGUGUAGCAGUGAAAUGCGUAGAUAUGCGGAGGAACACCGAUGGCGAAGGCAAUCCCCUGGGCCUGUACUGACGCUCAUGCACGAAAGCGUGGGGAGCAAACAGGAUUAGAUACCCGAGUAGUCCCUGUCUCUUAUAC
Molecule: ribosomal RNA, 301 nt
Filed under: uncultured bacterium
Lineage: Bacteria
Description: partial 16S ribosomal RNA
Rfam family: Bacterial small subunit ribosomal RNA
Source: RNAcentral